This 739-nucleotide ribosomal RNA is filed under the name bacterium LGM17. Its description in RNAcentral is "bacterial SSU rRNA". It matches the Rfam family "Bacterial small subunit ribosomal RNA", at positions 57 to 791 of the family's 1533-position model. The record is from RNAcentral.
GCAAGUCGAGCGGUAGAGAGAAGCUUGCUUCUCUUGAGAGCGGCGGACGGGUGAGUAAUGCCUAGGAAUCUGCCUGGUAGUGGGGGAUAACGUUCGGAAACGGACGCUAAUACCGCAUACGUCCUACGGGAGAAAGCAGGGGACCUUCGGGCCUUGCGCUAUCAGAUGAGCCUAGGUCGGAUUAGCUAGUUGGUGAGGUAAUGGCUCACCAAGGCGACGAUCCGUAACUGGUCUGAGAGGAUGAUCAGUCACACUGGAACUGAGACACGGUCCAGACUCCUACGGGAGGCAGCAGUGGGGAAUAUUGGACAAUGGGCGAAAGCCUGAUCCAGCCAUGCCGCGUGUGUGAAGAAGGUCUUCGGAUUGUAAAGCACUUUAAGUUGGGAGGAAGGGUUGUAGAUUAAUACUCUGCAAUUUUGACGUUACCGACAGAAUAAGCACCGGCUAACUCUGUGCCAGCAGCCGCGGUAAUACAGAGGGUGCAAGCGUUAAUCGGAAUUACUGGGCGUAAAGCGCGCGUAGGUGGUUUGUUAAGUUGGAUGUGAAAUCCCCGGGCUCAACCUGGGAACUGCAUUCAAAACUGACUGACUAGAGUAUGGUAGAGGGUGGUGGAAUUUCCUGUGUAGCGGUGAAAUGCGUAGAUAUAGGAAGGAACACCAGUGGCGAAGGCGACCACCUGGACUAAUACUGACACUGAGGUGCGAAAGCGUGGGGAGCAAACAGGAUUAGAUACCCUGGU